GGACGAACGCUGGCGGCGUGCCUAACACAUGCAAGUCGAACGGAGCACCCCGGAAGAUAACUUCGGUUUGAAACUGGGAAUGCUUAGUGGCGGACGGGUGAGUAACGCGUGGGUAACCUGCCUUAUACAGGGGGAUAACAGUUGGAAACGGCUGCUAAUACCGCAUAAGCGCACAGGGUCGCAUGACCUGGUGUGAAAAACUCCGGUGGUAUGAGAUGGACCCGCGUCUGAUUAGGCAGUUGGCGGGGUAACGGCCCACCAAACCGACGAUCAGUAGCCGACCUGAGAGGUUGAACGGCCACAUUGGGACUGAGACACGGCCCAGACUCCUACGGGAGGCAGCAGUGGGGGAUAUUGCACAAUGGGGGAAACCCUGAUGCAGCGACGCCGCGUGGAGGAAGAAGGUUUUCGGAUUGUAAACUCCUGUCGUUAGGGACGAUAAUGACGGUACCUAACAAGAAAGCACCGGCUAACUACGUG
RNAcentral lists this ribosomal RNA (480 nucleotides) under uncultured bacterium. RNAcentral describes it as "bacterial SSU rRNA". It matches the Rfam family "Bacterial small subunit ribosomal RNA", at positions 27 to 507 of the family's 1533-position model. The record is from RNAcentral.